GACGAACGCUGGCGGCGUGCCUAAUACAUGCAAGUAGAACGAGUGGCGGACGGGUGAGUAAUGUCUGGGAAACUGCCUGAUGGAGGGGGAUAACUACUGGAAACGGUAGCUAAUACCGCAUACCAUCAGAUGUGCCCAGAUGGGCUUGGCUUGUUGGUGGGGUAACGGCUCACCAAGGCGACGAUCCCUAGCUGGUCUGAGAGGAUGACCAGCAACACUGUAACUGAGACACGGGCCAGACUCCUACGGGAGGCAGCAGUGGCGAAUAUUGCACAAUGGGCGCAAGCCUGAUGCAGUCAUGCCGAGUGUAUGAAGAAGGCCUUCGGGUUGUAAAGUACUUUCAGCGGGGAGGCGUUACCCGCAGAAGAAGCACCGGCUAACUCCGUGCCAGCAGCCGCGGUAAUAC
This 406-nucleotide ribosomal RNA is filed under the name uncultured bacterium. Its description in RNAcentral is "partial 16S ribosomal RNA". It matches the Rfam family "Bacterial small subunit ribosomal RNA", at positions 28 to 526 of the family's 1533-position model. The record is from RNAcentral.